UACAGAGGGGGCAAGCGUUGUUCGGAAUUACUGGGCGUAAAGGGCGCGUAGGCGGCCGCCUAAGUCAGACGUGAAAUCCCUCGGCUCAACCGGGGAACUGCGUCUGAUACUGGGUGGCUUGAAUCCGGGAGAGGGAUGCGGAAUUCCAGGUGUAGCGGUGAAAUGCGUAGAUAUCUGGAGGAACACCGGUGGCGAAGGCGGAUCUCUGGGCCAUUACUGACGCUGAGGAGCGAAAGCGUGGGGAGCGAACAGG
Molecule: ribosomal RNA, 253 nt
Filed under: uncultured bacterium
Lineage: Bacteria
Description: partial 16S ribosomal RNA
Rfam family: Bacterial small subunit ribosomal RNA
Source: RNAcentral